AUCUAAUUCUCGAAGGGAUCGGGGUUUCCUUGCAAACUCUACUGGUAUAUACCUACGCAUCUGAGUUAGACUUUCUGAAAUCCUGUCAACAAGACUAGAGGACAAACGAAACAUCAGAGGGCCCCUCAGCCAAAUGUUUAGCAAUCGUCGCAUUACACCUAAACAUGCAAGGUGCAUGUAAUCAAGGGGAAACCGAGUUACCAUACCAACAUCUAAAUUAGAAAAUCCAUGAGGUCCUUCAUGGUGAUGAUCCUCAUCAGCUCUCUCUGAAAAUGAUGAGUCAGUCCGUAACAUGUAAUUAUUUAAAGGGUAAGUCAUUCGUCUGUUAAUGUAAACACCUGGCUGGGAACAUUUAUCACAUCCGUGAUAUCCAUUGUGAGCCUUUGUGUUUUUUACAAAUGCCCUAGCAGGUGUAUCACACACAACAGAAACCAGUUCAAGGAACACUUUUUUCCCACUGAAAUCAAAACCUCUCUGUAGCUGUUGUAACUCACAUGUGAAGUCUCGCAAAAAUUCUUCAGCUGGAUAAGGUUUUUUACUGCCACAAAAAAUGCCUAUGACAACAGGUUCCUUCAUUGGAACACUUAACAGAAGUCCUAAAAUAGGCCAAAACUGAAUAUUUGUGCUUUUAAACAGUGGUAACCCAUCAAUAUUAAUCUGCAGCUUGAAUUUAAAGCCAUCAGCAACAUUGCGUAUAUGUUGAGAUAAGGUGUUACGAAGCGCUGCCAAGAUACCUGUAUAAUGAUACAACCCACCACAUUUUUCUUGUAUUUUGUAAUUAAUUUCUGUUUUGAGGACAGUCCUAGCAUCUUUUGGCAGUUCUGGGUGGUACACCCUCAACAGGGUAAGGAGGGCUGUGAGCGCGACCAAAGAAAUACUGAACUGUACAGCCCAAUUGGCUAAGCUGUCCAAAAGGCUCACAUGCUCUUCAUCAGUGUCAUCAUCAGACUCUGAAACCAUUUCUUCUCCCCCCCAUUCUAUGUCUGUGUGAUGGUCAUCUGAAUUGUCAUCCUCCACUUGAGGAGUAACGCUAGAGUCACAAUCAUGGUUGCCAUCGCUGUCAUUGGUGUUGUCACAUGGGUCUGCCCUGUUUUCUACCGCCUGUUCUGUUAAAUGAGAGUCGUCUGCAAUGUCAUGGAGUCGUUUUUCUAAUGCAAAGCGUGCCCUCUGCCUGACUCCGGAGUCUGUUAAUGGAGGUUGCCUCCUUUUCAUCUUCUCUCUAAAAUAGAUUCUGACAGAAAUACAUGUUUUAGGGUCCAUCUGGGGUUUAACCCCAGCCCUCUACUGAUCUUUAUUUAUUUAUUUUCCACUGUAUAUGUGUGUGUAUCAGACAUUUAUCUGAAUAACAACAAAGUUAAUACAAAAACAACUAAACAAGUUAACUUUUUACUCCUUAUACCCAUAAAUAUUGUAACACAUUGUAUGUUUGUGUGUUUGACUCACCUUCCUGUUGUGCUGAAGACGUGAUGUGUGACUCCUUUCUGUUACAGUAUUCCAGAUAAACCUCAAACUGAAAGAACAUUUUUUACAUGAUUAAGAUUAUUAUUGUUUUAACAAAUGAAUACGAUCAGAUAUUAUUUCUCAGAUCAGAAUCAACUAAUUAAAUGCCGUUUCAAAUUAUAUGGUGAAAUAAUAAAAUACAAUGGAAAGUGCAUGAUUUUUGAUUGGCCGAUUGACUCUGAAAACUAGCUAUUCACAAGCGACAACUUGCUUCUGAAUGGUCAUUUCAAGUAAUUGACAGUUGCCGUUGCCAAUGCUCAUCCAUAUCCUGUCUGGCUAAAGAUCCUACUGUACUGUAGGACUGUAGAGCUACAAAUGAGCAACGGACAGCGACGUUGAAGAGAACUGUUCAACAUCGAGUGAGCAGAGCGUUGAAGAUUCUUCCUGGUGAUCUGCUGCCCAUCAUCAACAGUGUUGGGGACUUCUGUGUGCUUCUUCUCACUUCCUGC
Long non-coding RNA from Hypomesus transpacificus, 1949 nucleotides. RefSeq lists it as uncharacterized. Lineage: Eukaryota; Metazoa; Chordata; Actinopteri; Osmeriformes; Osmeridae. The transcript is spliced from 2 exons. The record is from RefSeq and is a predicted model, not a curated record.